CAGGCUUAACACAUGCAAGUCGAGGGGCAGCAUGGUCUUAGCUUGCUAAGGCCGAUGGCGACCGGCGCACGGGUGAGUAACACGUAUCCAACCUGCCGUCUACUCUUGGACAGCCUUCUGAAAGGAAGAUUAAUACAAGAUGGCAUCAUGAGUCCGCAUGUUCACAUGAUUAAAGGUAUUCCGGUAGACGAUGGGGAUGCGUUCCAUUAGAUAGUAGGCGGGGUAACGGCCCACCUAGUCUUCGAUGGAUAGGGGUUCUGAGAGGAAGGUCCCCCACAUUGGAACUGAGACACGGUCCAAACUCCUACGGGAGGCAGCAGUGAGGAAUAUUGGUCAAUGGGCGAGAGCCUGAACCAGCCAAGUAGCGUGAAGGAUGACUGCCCUAUGGGUUGUAAACUUCUUUUAUAAAGGAAUAAAGUCGGGUAUGGAUACCCGUUUGCAUGUACUUUAUGAAUAAGGAUCGGCUAACUCCGUGCCAGCAGCCGCGGUAAUACGGAGGAUCCGAGCGUUAUCCGGAUUUAUUGGGUUUAAAGGGAGCGUAGAUGGAUGUUUAAGUCAGUUGUGAAAGUUUGCGGCUCAACCGUAAAAUUGCAGUUGAUACUGGAUAUCUUGAGUGCAGUUGAGGCAGGCGGAAUUCGUGGUGUAGCGGUGAAAUGCUUAGAUAUCACGAAGAACUCCGAUUGCGAAGGCAGCCUGCUAAGCUGCAACUGACAUUGAGGCUCGAAAGUGUGGGUAUCAAACAGGAUUAGAUACCCUGGUAGUCCACACGGUAAACGAUGAAUACUCGCUGUUUGCGAUAUACUGCAAAGCGGCCAAGCGAAAGCGUUAAGUAUUCCACCUGGGGAGUACGCCGGCAACGGUGAAACUCAAAGGAAUUGACGGGGGCCCGCACAAGCGGAGGAACAUGUGGUUUAAUUCGAUGAUACGCGAGGAACCUUACCCGGGCUUAAAUUGCAGAUGAAUUACGGUGAAAGCCGUAAGCCGCAAGGCAUCUGUGAAGGUGCUGCAUGGUUGUCGUCAGCUCGUGCCGUGAGGUGUCGGCUUAAGUGCCAUAACGAGCGCAACCCUUGUUGUCAGUUACUAACAGGUUCCGCUGAGGACUCUGACAAGACUGCCAUCGUAAGAUGUGAGGAAGGUGGGGAUGACGUCAAAUCAGCACGGCCCUUACGUCCGGGGCUACACACGUGUUACAAUGGGGGGUACAGAGGGCCGCUACCACGCGAGUGGAUGCCAAUCCCCAAAACCUCUCUCAGUUCGGACUGGAGUCUGCAACCCGACUCCACGAAGCUGGAUUCGCUAGUAAUCGCGCAUCAGCCACGGCGCGGUGAAUACGUUCCCGGGCCUUGUACACACCGCCCGUCAAGCCAUGGGAGCCGGGGGUACCUGAAGUGCGUAACAACGAGGAGCGCCCUAGGGUAAAACUGGUGACUGGGGC
This 1435-nucleotide ribosomal RNA is filed under the name uncultured organism. RNAcentral's name for it is "16S ribosomal RNA". It matches the Rfam family "Bacterial small subunit ribosomal RNA". The record is from RNAcentral.